This 406-nucleotide ribosomal RNA is filed under the name uncultured bacterium. Its description in RNAcentral is "partial 16S ribosomal RNA". It matches the Rfam family "Bacterial small subunit ribosomal RNA", at positions 30 to 526 of the family's 1533-position model. The record is from RNAcentral.
AUUGAACGCUGGCGGCAGGCUUAACACAUGCAAGUCGAACGAGUGGCGGACGGGUGAGUAAUGUCUGGGAACCUGCCUGAUGGCGGGGGAUAACUACUGGAAACGGUGGCUAAUACCGCAUACCAUCGGAUGUGCCCAUAUGGGAUUAGCUAGUUGGUGGGGUAACGGCUCACCAAGGCGACGAUCCCUAGCUGGUCUGAGAGGAUGACCAGCCACACUGGAACUGAGACACGGUCCAGACUCCUACGGGAGGCAGCAGUGGGGAAUAUUGCACAAUGGGCGAAAGCCUGAUACAGCCAUGCCGCGUGUAUGAAGAAGGCCUUCGGGUUGUAAAGUACUUUCAGCGGGGAGGCGUUACCCGCAGAAGAAGCACCGGCUAACUCCGUGCCAGCAGCCGCGGUAAUAC